This 31-nucleotide non-coding RNA is filed under the name Mus musculus (house mouse). Lineage: Eukaryota; Metazoa; Chordata; Mammalia; Rodentia; Muridae. The record is from RNAcentral.
UACAACAUAAUAUGGAAUGGAUGAUGGAUGU